AUGGACGGCUCCCGAGUAGCGAUGCUGCAUCCCCGCCUCACCUGCGGCGGAGUGCCGCUUUGCGUUGCAAUGAUCCGGCACCCUUUCGCUGCGCGUAGCCCCGGUGGAGUCAAGAAGGCCCGUUUCAUUGCACUGAGUGCUGAUGUCAAUGAAGGUGAUGCCAAAUUUUGGAGUUGAACUUCGGAGUGGAUCUGGGGCGCAGAUGAAGGAAGCUGAUGCUCUUUUGUAUGAAGAAACGCAUGUUCCUGUCUAACAGCGAGAGGGAAAGAUGGAGAGGCCCUGUCACAAGCAGAUGAGUGUUCAUUACUUUACCCUUGACGGGGGGUUUGGGCAGCAGGAAAGAGAUUUCACGCUAAUUUGUGGGAUGACACCUUAGCCAUUUACAAUAUAUAUAUAUAUAAAACAAACAGACUAUAAAACUCUUGAUAACACUUUGGCCUAUUUUAAUCACACCUACAAACACAAUUUUUAGCAUAAUGAUUUAAUAUCUCCCUAUAUACCAUGAAAGAGUUCAAAAUUGGUGGAUGUUAAAACAAAAUUAAAAGGAUGAAUAGCAUGUCUGUCAUUAAUAUAAAGGAUAUUUUAAUCAUGCGUCAUGUACAAUAGAGUACAGCUGUCGGAAAAAAGAUUAUGAUGAUCUGAUUUGAGCAAACAGUUUGUUUAAACGGUAUCACUUUACAAUAAGGUUUUACUUGUUAACAUUAGUUAACCACAUUAAUUAACAUCAACUAAUGAUAAACAAUACUUCUACAGCAUUUGAACAACUGUAUUUUUAUCAACUAACAUUUAAAAAGGUUAAUAAAUGCUCUAAAAUAUAUUGCUCAUCAUAGUUAAUGUUAACUAAUGUUAACAAAGGAGGCCUUAUUGUAAAAAUAAGAGUAAAUUCUACCAGAAUGCCUAAAAUAUAUGUAAACAUAUUGUACAGUAACUACUCAUAAUAAAGUCAUUUCAUUAAAAAAAAAAUUCUAGCAUUUGCUCUAGAAUGACAGCUGUUUAUUAGAACUGUAAUUGCUGAAUUAAGUUUCCAAAAAGCCCAAUCUCUGCAUAUAAGAUGGGGUCUGACAUGUAGGUUAAAAAAAACUUUCAAAAAGCCUUAAUAAACACACCUUAAACUGAGACAUCCUUACCUUAAAGCAGCGUCCUUCUUUCCUUCGGCAAGCACGCUAGACUCGGGUCCCCUAACAUACAUGAGGUGUGAGUGAUGGGCGCUUUUUCGAGAAAACAGGAUUUAGUCAUCAGACAUGCAGCUUUUUCCUCAGACGCUUGUCAGAUGUAGGGGGCCGGCCGGUCUCUCUUUGAGACGCAUAAUUAGGAUGCAGGCUGAAGAAAGGACAGCCCAGCUUGAUAAGGGUUGGCAUGCAAAUGGAUAAGGAGACAAAGAAGCACACAGAGAAAGAGAGAGAGGGAGAGCAAAACACUAUAUGUUGCACACACCACAACACUUUCUGCUUUAAGUGUCGGGUAUCAUUAUUGCGUCCACUGCUCAGGUUGGCUGAGGUAGUCGAAUACAUUGAGGUCCGCAGAUGAGGAAAUCGAGGAGAGAGAAAUCUGCGAUUGAUGCUCAGCAGUUCAAAGGCCUUCCCAAACCCUCUUAUCUUUCCCGCCACAGAGGCAGCUCAGAUAAAAGAGGAACACACAUCACACCAAGCGUUGGACGGAAACAUGGAUGUUGGAGAUGUACAUGUACACAACUAGCAGUGUUCAGUGCAUUAAAGAUGACAUCUCUUCUCUGAUGACAUGUUUACUGGAUUGAGGGGGGACAACCUGUCACUCACAUGACAUCACAGCAACAGCAAACCACAACCAUCCAAUCGAUUCCUGAUGGCCAAAAUUAAGUCCCGCCCUACAUUUUAUCUUG
Megalobrama amblycephala (Wuchang bream) is the source of this 1858-nucleotide long non-coding RNA. RefSeq lists it as uncharacterized. The transcript has 4 exons. The record is from RefSeq and is a predicted model, not a curated record. NCBI's taxonomy places the organism in Eukaryota, Metazoa, Chordata, Actinopteri, Cypriniformes, Xenocyprididae.